UAUUUGGUUAAUCCUAUUAGUAAUCAUAUAUUUAUCUCAAAAAUUAAACCAUGUAUGUUUAAGUAUAAGCAAUUUAUAUAGUAAAAUUAUGAAUAACUCAUUAAAUCAAUUAUUAUUUAUUUAAUAAUAUCUUAUUAUUUAAAUAAUUAUAAUAAUUUUAAAACUAAUAUAUGCUAAAAAUUCUAAUUUCCAAAAAAAAUAUAUUUAUUAGAUAAAAAAUUAAUAACUUUGGCCUUCUUAAUAAUUUAUAAUAAUUUAACGAAUUAUAUAGUUUUGCACCAGCAAUGGUUUAUUUAAAUUUUUACCCUAUUAAUUUUCGAUAAUAAAAUAGUAACCUACCAUAAUUUCAACAAAUAACAAGGAAUUAGAAUUCGAUUUUAAAAAAAAACCUAAAAAACGGCUAUUAUAUUUAAAAAAGGUAGUAAAUGUACAAAUUAUUUAAUUUUAAUUUGAGGAGGUAGUAAUAAUAAAUAUUAAUAUAAGGCUUUUUUAAAUUUUAUAAUUAAAAUAAGUACAAUUUAAAUUCUUUAAUAAAAAAUAAUUGAAAAGUAAAUUUAAUACCAAUAACUACAAUAAUUUUAACUCCAAUAACAUAUAUUAAAAUUAUUAUAAUUAAAAAACUCAUAAUUAAAUUUUAAGUCUAACUACUCAAUCCACCUAAUUACAUACAUUAAUAUAAUUAGAUUUUUUUUUCUAAUUAAUUUUAUAUCCUUUACUGGGUAUAUUAAGAAUCCAAAACUUUUAUUUUAAAAAAAUUAAAAUAUUCAAAGUAAGCCUACACUUAAAUACAUUAACAUAAAAUAAUAGAAUAGGAUAGCAAUUCUAUUUUAUUAAUUUCUAAAGCCAUUAUAAUAAUUAAUAAGGAUAAUCAAAAACAUCAGUAUUUAAUUAUCAAAAAUAAAAUUCUUAAAUUUAUUAAAAACUAACUAUUGCGAAAGUAUUUACUAAGAAUAUUUUCAUUAAUCAAUAAAUAAAAAUUAAAAAUUAAAAACAAUCAAAUACCAUUGUAAUCUUAACUAUAAAUUAUAUCAACUAAAGAUUGGGCAAUGUUUAAUUUAUAACCCACUCAGUAUUUUAUGAGAAAUUAAAGUUUUUAAGUUUUAAAAGAAAUAUAAUUGUAAGACUAAAAUUUAAAAAAAUUAAUGAAAAGGUAUUAUUAGAUAUAAAACUUACAACUUAAUUUAAUUUAAUACAAAAAAAUUUACCAAAUCCAAAUAUAUUAAAAAUUAAUAAAUUAAAAGCUUUUUUUUAAUUAUAUAAAUAAUAAUACAUAGUUAUUUUUAAUUAAUAAAGUGAUUUAUUUACUUAAUUGUGAUAACAAACAAAAUUUUAAUUUGUUAAAUAACCAAGUUAGUUUUUACUAAUCACCAGUUUCUUAAAAAGACUAUUGGCUUAAGCUAAUAAAAAUUUAAGACAAUAAUAAAUCUAUAAUGUUCUUAAAUAUUCUAAGCUGUACGCACGCUAUACUGAUAGAACCAACAAAUAUAAAUUUUAAUUGAAAAAUUUAAAUAAUUUUAUUAAACUUUAUUGUACUGGGGAUAGGGUAUUACAAUUAUUACCUUUUAAUGAGAAAUAUCUAAUAAGUGUAAGUUAUUAGUUUGCAUUGAUUACAUUUUUACCCUUUAUAUACACUGUUUGUCAUUAUUACCAAUUGAAUGGUUUAAUAAGGCUUUCAAACUGGUUUCAGAAAAUUGGCAACAACCACCUAGAGUUGGAAAAUUAAUCAAACUUAAUCAUUUAGAAAAAAUAAAAGUUGUAACAAAAUUUUUAUAAAUAAACCUACAAAAAAAUUAUUA
Molecule: ribosomal RNA, 1796 nt
Organism: Dactylellina haptotyla CBS 200.50
Lineage: Eukaryota; Fungi; Ascomycota; Orbiliomycetes; Orbiliales; Orbiliaceae
Rfam family: Eukaryotic small subunit ribosomal RNA
Source: Rfam